CUGCAAUGAACCCAACUACCCCAGAGACUAACUCUUUCACCUUCAACUCGUUUCUGUAGUCAGUGAAGAUUUGCACAUGUGCAGUUUUGAAUCAGCACUUUUGUUCCACCUCUGCAUUCCUUCAUUCUUGUCCGUUGGUUCUUCUGCUCCACUCAAGCCUUGUUGAUGGCUGUCAUAGCCACUUGGUACCUCUGCAGUGUUUUCAGUUUAAAGUAUGAAUUAUGAAAUUGUGAUUUGUAGGAAAUGUUGGAGGCUAACAGUAGGGCUGUAGGUCCAAAAAGACUGGAAACAAAUGUUCUAGCAGCUACUCCCCUUCAGCUGUAUCUUUUGGCACAGUUCGAUGUCAUCAGCAAAAUACAGUUUUCAUUGAGUCUUGUACAAGGGAUGCACAAAGCAUGCCAGAACACUGAAACCCAGAGGAACUCUCCAUCUCUUUAACCCUACUGUAGACAUUCCUGGUUCCUCCAGAUAGUUAGUUUAUUUGGAUUUAAUUAGUUGAAAAACACCUUUCAAUAAUCAUAAGCUUAAUCAAGUCCAUCUACUUGCUUUUGAGCAAGAGUCACUACAUAUGAUAUAAAAGGGUAUUACCAUAGCAAUCUGGACUCUCACCUUAACCUGUACUCCUGCUAAAAUGGGAACAAAGCCAAAGACAGUUCCAAAGGAGAGGGGUGGCUUUUGCUGGCCUCUUCCUUUCUUUUCUCCCACCUCUCAUCUCCCCUUUGCCCUCCAGCUCCAAAUACUUUUUGGUUUAAUUGAUCUGCUUCUGCAUUUAGGAAGAAGACAAUAUUGGAUGUUUCUCUUUUAAAUCUGGGGAAGUGGAGUUUGCUCAUUACCUAACCUUUAUUUGCAGCCCUAGUCAGCAGGCAGGCUGGCCAGGAAGGUCAGGGAGGUCAGAAAGGAGAGAUGCAGAGAAUGAGGGACAGGAGCUUGUGAUCUUUUGACAGAAGGGAAGGAUCAGGCAUGGAAUCAAAACAGAGGAGUAGGAGGGGGGUCUAAAGGUGAUGGGUAGCUGGUGGAGAUAGAGGGAUAGGAGCUGCAUAGGCAACAGGCAAAGAUGAAGUCCUUCAAAGAGGCUGGCAAAAAUCGAGCAAUCUCAGACAUGACUAAUUCUGCACUCUGCAAGAGUGAAACUCUUCCUUCCUGUCAUUUCUGUGACAGACACUCCCCAAGGCCCCCACUGCUGCUAGAGCUCCAUUAUCUGAGGCAUUGUACCUCACACUGGUGAUGUGCUCUCUGCCACAAGGACCUUACAGUUUAGCAUGACCCAAAACGCAACAAAGGAGUGUAACAAAAUAUUGCACAGGACCAGGAGAGGAAGGACAUCUGGAGCCUUGGAAGCCUACAUUGCAUUUAUGUUUUGUAAUGUCACGGUUAUAGUCAGAAGUAAAUAACAUACAGGUAAUGUACACACAUAGCAGCAACCCACCCUCCAUCUCAGGCAUUUCCACUGUCUUUUUUCUCCCAGUCAAGAAUGAGGAAAUCCCAAGUACCCAAUUCAACCUCUUGUCCAAGGGCCUGUUGGUGGUGGUAGUUAGGGCAGAAGGCUAACACAGGCACAGCUGAAGCACAGCAUGUGCUGCUAGAGGUCACAGCCUUUGACUUGCAGCAUUCUGCGAGAGCAGCAGUAAGGAGCAGCUGGGCACGUACAAGCUCUGCUCUGACUCAGCCUGGAACAGCCCAUCUCUGUCCCUUGGUCUGCCCUGCAUCCCACUGUCACUGCUCUUUGCAAGUGAGCUGGCUGCAGAAGUUACUUUUCAGCUGGACCAGUUCCCAGGGAAGGCAAAAGAAUACAAAUUUCUGCCAGCCAGUGUGGGAAGAGUGUCAGGGGCAGGCAGGGGGGCAGCAGGGCUUGGAGAAGCUGCUGGAGACAUUCUGCUCCAGAGGCACAGGACUGGCCUCAGCUGUGCUUGUGCGAAGCAGGUUGUUUUACUAAACUGCAUUUUCAGAUGCCUAAAAUGGAUUUUGGUACUCAAGCUGGACACCUUAGGUUUCAUUUUCCUAGUUCACCUCCACCAGAGUGAGGAGGCCCUGUUUCCCAGACAUGCAAUCCCAUCAUCUCUCUUUUGUCAGCCCUGCUACCUGUGAAUGAAUGAAGCCCUUCAGUCACCAGUGUUGGUCACUAACCAAGCAGAAACGUGACCCUGAAAGAAACAGCUGCUUGGUUUUUUGCUGUGUCAUUGCAUUGUACCAGCUCACAGGCAAAUCAAAUAAACUCCAGAGCCACCACAGAUGAGGGGGCAGGCUCUUUGGCUGGGAAGAAGUUUGAGUUAGAGAAGGAAAAGAAGGAACAAGACUUCCCCCUUAUGGCAAGAUCAAGCCACUGGAUAUGCUUAGGUGCUCACAGAUGCAGCUUGAGAGGUCAAUUUACACGUGUUAAACCAGGAAUACACAAACUCUGCAGCAGCUGGAAGUGCUGCAGUUUGCUGCAAUCCCUAAAUUCACUCCUAUUUUAUAUAAACAUGAUCCUGGUUCCACAUCUCUUAUUUGUGUAGAAAUACUCAUUAAAGAAGUUUUAGUAAAAAAAAUUGGAGAAAAAUCAGUUCUCAGCCUGCAGGCUUCUGCACUUUGAGGAAACAAGUACCUUUUGAAGAUGUAUUGAGGUACGUCCCCUAAUUAUCAUGUGUACAUAGUAUAGCAAAACUUAUUAUAAAGAGAAUGCAACUUUAAACCACACAAGUGUAAAUUUCCCAUGAGUUCCUAAUGCAGAGCAGUACCAGAGGUUUAAAUCAGCUUUUUCAAUGUCCCUCACCUCUGCCAGUUCCUGGGAUGAAGUGUGCCCUACCUGCCUUAAGACAGGGAAGAUGUUCAUCCUUGCUGAGCUCCCUCUCACCACACACUGGAAAAAAAGUUCAAAUAGACUGAUGUGUUUCUUUCCUCAUGCCAGGCCUGCAUCACUUCUAACUGCUCAUCCCUCCAGCAUGGGCUUUGUCCUCACUUAACAGAGUGAGUUAUGACAUGGCCUGGAGCUAUCCACAAAGAUUGCAAUAACUCCUCUCUCUAUUGUUGGCCUGAUUUUCAAGAGGCUUGGGCAUUCCUACUCCUUCAAGGAGCAGAAGGGCCUGAGGAUACCAUCACCUCUGGAAAUCAAACCAUUAGGGACAAGAAGAGGAUGUGAAGGAAGGCAUGGGGGCUUGCAGGAAAGCAUUGCUUCCAUUCAAGGAGCACAUCAGGGAGAAGCUGCCACAGUCAAGGGGAGAGAGCAAGUAAUCUAACAGAACUUUCUUACAGGCUAAAAACCCCAUGAAAGCCUGGAUGGCUGCACACCAGAUCUCUGAGAGCAAUGACAAAUCACAUUAUGGUUGAGGCGUGUAAAAUCGUUCUGUCAAAGCAGCGGCUCCCGGCGUGGCCGAUUUGACUGAGUGAGACAGGCAUUGUUAGUGCUGCUGCCUGCUUCAGGAAUGGCCUGGAUGAGACAAAGGGAAACAUUUGCACCUUGAAUGGACUUUCAUCCAUCAGACUUCCACUAGGAAAUUGGAGAAGUGGUACCAAUGAUUCAUCUGUGGUAUUGAUUGUAGAUGCUGGCUGGGAAAGAGAAUGAAAAUAAGAAAUUAAAACUAAUGACUGUACCA
Molecule: long non-coding RNA, 3569 nt
Organism: Haemorhous mexicanus (house finch)
Lineage: Eukaryota; Metazoa; Chordata; Aves; Passeriformes; Fringillidae
Exons: 2
Source: RefSeq, a predicted model, not a curated record